CUUAAGGCAGCCUAAUACUUGUUAAAUACACCUUAAACUCUUCUUUAUUUACUCUUUAUUCUCUAGAUUACUGAUUCUAAUUCCUUUUUAUCUCAAGUACACAAACUCAAAGUGUUGUUGUACUAGACAAGGAUUAGUCUCACACUAGAAGCUUUCUCCUUCAUAUAAUCGAUUUACUCUCUAGUAUAUUCGGAUAUAUUUUUGGAUAUGUGUGUGGAUUCCAUCACAAGUUGAUGGUCUCUUCAUCUUAAGAUCGAGUUCCCUUGUAUGGUUAAAGAGAGAUUCAUUCACCAAGUGACUGUCUACUCUCUAUUGUGAGCUUAGUCUCAUAGAAACUAACAUGGUAUCAGAGCAAGUUGCUCUCUUGGUUCCUCAAGAACUCUAGAACUCGUUCUUAAAGCAUUCUCUUUCUUUGUUGUUUUUAAAAGUCUUUCUCUCCCACCUCUUGUUGUUGAAAGCUUGUUCUUGGUACUGUUGUAAUGCCCACGUUCAAGCUUGAGGGGGAGAGAGAUCUUUGUUUUGGCAUCUCCAUAUAGCUUAGUCCAUUGGAUAUAAGCUUGUUUCUAAAGAUGCAUCUUUGUAACCGUUGGACAAACUGUUUUGUUCCAAAGGUUUCUUUUGCUUUUCUUUACAACUAAGGCCACGAAAAUCAUCUUCUAUAUGGUAUUUCGUGGUUCAUGUUGAUUUAAAGCCACUGGAAAACUCUUGUUCAUAUGUUAUUUCAGUGGGUUCAUGUCUUUAACCGAUGGGUAAAUCGAUCGCCCAUCGGUCCAUUAUGUUUCAGCCAUUAAAGAACCAAACUCUUAAUGAUUCUUGGAUGCUCUUGGCUGUUAAAGUGUCUUUAAAACUCAAGAAAACAGAGAAAAACUCUGUCCAUUUGAACUCUUGAGCAAAUUCUCUAUUCUCUUUUACUUAUGCUCAUUCUAUGUGCUUCCGCUAUUCUUCUUUACUUAUGUUCAUUCUCUUUUCUUGCGCUUAUACUCUAUAAUCUCUUGUUACUUAUUCUUUAUCAUUCUCUUAUACUCUUGUUAUAUAUUCUCUCUCUCUCUUUAUUUUCAGUAUUUUACUCUCUAAUCUCUCACCAUCUCUUGUUUAGAAUCUGUUCGUAUAAGUCUAAAACAGGUUCAAUCGUUGAAGAUGGUGAGUUUGCUGUCUCAAGAUGGCACAACACAAUGUUUGUAGUUAGAACCAAGGGCCACCAAGCUUUAGAAACCAAAAGAACGUACAACCUAGUUAAAGCUCCGGAAGAUACAAGGGUAAACCCGAGAGACUUACCGAGAGGGAAUGCUUUGGUUGUGGUUCUUGUGGAGAGGCCUAAUGGAAAGGCAAGCUGGUGGAAGGUGAUGAAUCAGCUCAAAAGCAUGUGUGUUAGUGUCAAGUUGUUGGAGUUCAAGAUUGGAUGUGCACUAGAUGUCAAGCCAUCCUAGGCACAAGGUCUCUUGACUCAAGACAUGGCCCAAGCCAUGAACAAAUCAAGAGAGUGGUCCCAAAGAGGAUUUAAACCACAUCUCUAAAUUUAAAGGCUAACUUCUAAAAUCUCUCUUUUAAAUUUAAAUUCAUCUUUUUCAAGUAUUGAAACUUGAAUUUCAAAUUUGAAUUUAUUUAAAUUUAAAUUUAAAUAUUUAUAUUUAUUUGAAAAUAGUUUAAAUUUGUUUUUGAAAAUAUUUGAAAUAUUUCACAUUCAGUUUAAAUAUUUUCAUAAAAUAGAUAUAGUAUUUAAAAGAGAAAUAAAGUUUCAUUCCUAAAGUUCUAUGAAUUCUCUCAUUUGGUUUCUCAAGUUUUAUUAAGUGUUUUUCUUAAAACCCCACAACAUAUACUUUAAAAUUUUUUCUUUAAACUCAUGUUGAAGGUUUAAAGGAGAGGAGGCAUGUGUGGACAUUCUCAAAGAGAAACACAAGAUGAGGCAAAGAGGUCCAUAAAAAGAGAAAUCAAGUCAUGAAGGACUAAAAGAAAUGAAAACUCUUAGAGGAAGAAGCCAAUGCUUGGUAUCCAAGCAAAUUCUCUGUCAAAGCGUCCUAAAGAGUUACUCGUACGACGGCCUUCCGCUGGGAUUUAUCUUCCACGUUCUUCAUAAAAGUUCUUGGAAAUUGAGUAAGCUUUCCAGUGAAAGUAAGAUCACCCACACCGGAGCUGUCGAUCGAAAGUUAUGCCCGAUAUAAUGGACAUAUAUCAAUCUGACGCGACAGAGAAGAAGCAAUCGACCAUUGAGGUCGGUUAAGGUAUCGAUUGGCCAUUGCCUGGCCACGAAGAGAGCUUCAAAAGAAGCCAAAUUGGAGCCCUUGAAACCUAAGAAGCGGUCAUGAAAGAAGCCUUAGAAGACUAGUCUUGAUGUUGUUCCAAGAAGGGAUAAUGAAGGAGGAUUAGCUUUAAGAGCUAAUGGCUGCUAGACUUGGUGUUGUCAAGAAGUUUCAAAGAAAGUUACAAAGUAGAAGAAUCCAGCCUAGUCAAGCUCAAGACAGUCCCAAAGGAAGACCCAAAGUGGUGAACCUAAGAGGCUGACCAAAAGAGGAGGCUAAGGUGGAAUAAGCUAGAGCUCUUGGUCUAGCUCGAGCUGUUUGAUCGAGCUCCUUGUUGAGUUAGACAAACGGAUACAUUGAAUCGAUCAAGUGCAACAUUUACAUGAUCGAGUGUUUUAUCGACUUGAUCGAAUGAGGCUAAUGAUGCGAUCAAUGUUGUGGAAAUGAAGAAGGGUGUGCACAAGCUUUCAAGAUUGGCUCUCAUUAAACUUUCAAGCCAACCUUGAGGGGGAGAAAAGUUUCAACAACCCUUAUAGAUAUCUAGAAGAUUUUUCCCACAAGAGGUCUCAUUCAAGAUUUGCAACCAUUUUCUAUCCAAGCAAACUUGAAUUGAAGAAAUGCUCUAUCUCUCUCUCAUGCUUAUGGAAGCUACAAAGAAGAUAGAAAGAAUCAAGACAAGCGUGUGGAGUUUAGAGCCGGUUAUAACCAACCACAAUACUAAAACUCCGGCGGUACAAAGGAUGACCCGAGGGAAGAAUGUAGAUGGCUCUCUCAAGCGUGGUGAACCUAUUUAAGCUGACCGAGAGAGAUAAAGCUAGAGGGAAGGACUCGUGAAGGUCCAAGGCUGGUGGUAAACCGAUGGAUCAUCUCCCUCACGUUUUGGUGCUUAUAUGCAAUGAGGAGCUACGAAAGAAGCUCCAAUGAUCCUACAAGGAAGCGGCUGAAGAAGAAGUCCCCAAGCCAACCAUGAAGCUGAUCCAAAUUUGGAUGUAGAAGAGGUGGAUUGAGUUGUCUUGUAGUCAUCAACCAUGAAGAGGAGACCCAUGGGGCAGAAACUCAAAUGGUGGUGCAAAACAAGUCUCAACCAAUACAUUACAACAAUGAACACAAAAGGCUAUCUCUAAACCCCUUAACUCUUUUAAUAUCUUUAAUUCAUUGCUCUUAUUUUAUUCAGAUUAGUCAUGCAUUUAAAGUGAAUUUUUCAUGCUUAGAAUCUUAAUUUAGAGAAAAAAAUUUCGGAUUUGUUUUUAGAGAAAUGCCUUGAAUUAAUUUGGAUUUAUCAUGCUUAAUUUGUCAUGUUUAGAACAUGUUUUUUUUUAGGAAUUAAAUUCAUGACUAUUAAACUGGUUGGUUCAUUAUUAAACUGAAUUUGCAAGUUUAAAAUCUGAUUUUAUACUCAUGUGUUUAAAUUGAGCUUAGUAAAAGACUAGUUCAAUUUAAGUGUGUUCUCUUUAAUCUCAAAACUAGCGUAGUGUUAUUCUUGUGGCCGAUAUACUUAAGAUUUCUUUACAUCUUUUUGAAGGUACAAAAGAGAAAGAAAGCCAUCCAAAAGCUAUAUGAGAAAAAGAGAACCGGGUUGAUCAUUCUAGCUUGACUCAAGGAAGAUCAAUUCAUGGUGGUGACCGAGAAGGAUAAGGUCCUCAAGCGAGUACUCACACGGAGAAUUAGAGUCUCCACAAGAAGUCAAAGCUAGAAGCCAAAGCAAUCUCACGUUCAAACCAUGGCCAUAGCUACAUCAUUCAACCGUGAAGACUAUACUCUUUUUCCCUUAACAAAGUUUUGUCCCAAGAGGUUUACUUUGUUAAGGUUUUUAAAGAGGUAGUCCUUUGCGUGUUGCAAGCUUGGCCUUUGGUUCCCGCUGCCCAAGCUUGAGGGGGAGUAUUAGAGAGGAAGAAGAAAAGGAGAACCUAAAGAUGAAGUCUAGAAGAAGAGGUCGAGCUUAAUGGUGUUCAAUGAAGUGUGACACUCAACAUGGCUCGUGUAUCUCCAAGCUUAACCUCCGAUGUCUCUACACUUAAGCUUGAGGGGGAGUAUUGAGACCUAAUGUGCAAAGUUAGGGUCAAAGUUAUGAAGACCUAAUGUGCAAAGUUAGGGUCAACGACUCAAGACACAAAAGUGCAAAGUUCGGGUCAAGUCAUCAAGACAAGAUACGAAUGUGCAAUGUCCGGGUCAAACAUAAGAUGUGCAAAUCUAGGGUCAACAUAUGAAGAUGAAGAUGUGCAAAACAAGGGUCAAUACAUGAAGAUAAAGAUGUGCAAAACACGGGUCAUUACAAGACCUAAUGGGCGUGCAAAACAUCUAGAAGAUCACAUGUUGUACUAAGGAAUGCAAGUGGGUGAGAAGAGUCACAUGUGAGCUUAAGAAAGGUCACAUGUGACCAAAGAGACGUUGGAGAGCUGUCACUUUCAUCCUUGGGCGCUCAAAGCUUCUUUCCCUCUCUCCUCAUGUCACUUUCACUUCAUUUGUAAAAGAGAAAACCCUAGAGCUCCUCCUCUGUAUAUUGUAGUAGCCUCCCUCCUUUGUAAGGUGCUAAUUCACAAGUUUAUACAAGUAUUUUGUUUAUCAAAUUCGUCCAUCUCUUCUCUCUACAUUUGCUUAACUAAUAAUCAUAAUGUAGAUAGCUAGAGUGUAACGAUUUAGGGGCUGCCCUUAAGGCAGCCUAAUACUUGUUAAAUACACCUUAAACUCUUCUUUAUUUACUCUUUAUUCUCUAGAUUACUGAUUCUAAUUCCUUUUUAUCUCAAGUACACAAACUCAAAGUGUUGUUGUACUAGACAAGGAUUAGUCUCACACUAGAAGCUUUCUCCUUCAUAUAAUCGAUUUACUCUCUAGUAUAUUCGGAUAUAUUGUUGGAUAUGUGUGUGGAUUCCAUCACAAGUUGAUGGUCUCUUCAUCUUAAGAUCGAGUUCCCUUAUAUGGUUAAAGAGAGAUUCAUUCACCAAGUGACUGUCUACUCUCUAUUGUGAGCUUAGUCUCAUAGAAACUAACAUGGUAUCAGAGCAAGUUGCUCUCUUGGUUCCUCAAGAACUCUAGAACUCGUUCUUAAAGCAUUCUCUUUCUUUGUUGUUUUUAAAAGUCUUUCUCUCCCACCUCUUGUUGUUGAAAGCUUGUUCUUGGUACUGUUGUAAUGCCCACGUUCAAGCUUGAGGGGGAGAGAGAUCUUUGUUUUUG
RNAcentral lists this long non-coding RNA (5408 nucleotides) under Capsella rubella. RNAcentral's name for it is "long non-coding RNA (CRUB_LNC000478)". The record is from RNAcentral. Lineage: Eukaryota; Viridiplantae; Streptophyta; Magnoliopsida; Brassicales; Brassicaceae.